UGGGGAAUAUUGCACAAUGGGCGAAAGCCUGAUGCAGCCAUGCCGCGUGUGUGAAGAAGGCCUUCGGGUUGUAAAGCACUUUAGGCGAGGAGGAAAAGCGUACGGUUAAUAACCGUGCGCCGUGACGUUACUCGCAGAAUAAGCACCGGCUAACUCCGUGCCAGCAGCCGCGGUAAUACGGAGGGUGCAAGCGUUAAUCGGAAUUACUGGGCGUAAAGCGCGCGUAGGCGGUUUGAUAAGCGGAGUGUGAAAUCCCCGGGCUUAACCUGGGAACUGCAUUCCGAACUGUCGAGCUAGAGUAUGAGAGAGGGUGGCGGAAUUCCGAGUGUAGCGGUGAAAUGCGUAGAUAUUCGGAGGAACACCAGUGGCGAAGGCGGCCACCUGGAUCAAUACUGACGCUGAGGCGCGAAAGCGUGGGUAGCAAACAGG
This 429-nucleotide ribosomal RNA is filed under the name uncultured Gammaproteobacteria bacterium. RNAcentral describes it as "bacterial SSU rRNA". It matches the Rfam family "Bacterial small subunit ribosomal RNA", at positions 355 to 776 of the family's 1533-position model. The record is from RNAcentral. Lineage: Bacteria; Pseudomonadati; Pseudomonadota; Gammaproteobacteria.